AGAAAUGUAAUUUAGGGACGGAGGGAGUACCAUUUCUUUAAAAGUUAUCAAAAAAGAAAUAAAAAACCCUUAGUAUAAUAAAGUUGUUGCCGCCAAUAAAACAAGAACUAUCACUCCUUAUUCCUUAUCGUCCUUGCUUGCACCAAAAAAAUACUUCUAUUGUACUCCGUAAAACAAACCCCAAAACAAAAAUUUGUAAACCCCUCUCUCUUCUCACACUACGAGUCUGCGAUAACUACACUUAAGCGCAUUUGAGAUUUCUCAUCCAUUGAAGCGACUUUGAGCUUUCUCCUCCAUUGAAGCGGCUUCUCAGAUAACUACACAUACUUUAAGGAAGAAUACAUGGAAAAAGGAUUAUAAGAACAAAGGAAUUGAGAUCAACCCCGAUAAAGUCUACUUGGAGGUUGUAGGUGGGCAAAAGAAAGGAAAAGUCUGCGGUUUAGGGAGUGCUUCACAAAUGUACUACAAGAGCAAUCCUACUUCUCAACUUACUACAUCAUCUUCCACUCCUUCCAUGAUUUCUCAACUAAGCUCUCAAGUUACAGAAUUCAAAAGGAUGGCGGAAGAAAACAAUUAGUCAUAUGGAUUUGAAUAUUGUUUUUUAAAACAUUAAUACAAAAUUGAUGAUAUGUUAGAUAUUUGAAUAAACUUAACAUUUUUGUUAUUUGAAUUUAUGCGUGGGUAGCUUUUGUUUAGAAUUGAUAUAGGUCGUCGCUAAAUUAUGGUCUCUAAAUAUUGAUAGUCAGUUGCAAAAAUUUAGCGACUGCUUAUUUGUUUUA
Molecule: long non-coding RNA, 779 nt
Organism: Chenopodium quinoa (quinoa)
Lineage: Eukaryota; Viridiplantae; Streptophyta; Magnoliopsida; Caryophyllales; Amaranthaceae
Exons: 2
Source: RefSeq, a predicted model, not a curated record